AUACCGAGGGUGCAAGCGUUAUUCGGAUUUAUUGGGCGUAAAGAGCGUGUAGGCGGUUGGGUUAGUCAUAUGUGAAAUCCUUCUGCUCAACGGAAGAAGUGCGUCUGAAACUGCUCAACUUGAGUACGAGAGAGGAAAGUGGAAUUCCCAGUGUAGAGGUGAAAUUCGUAGAUAUUGGGAGGAACACCUGUGGCGAAGGCGACUUUCUGGAUCGACACUGACGCUGAGACGCGAAAGCGUGGGGAGCAAACAGGAUUAGAUACCCCUGUAGUCC
RNAcentral lists this ribosomal RNA (274 nucleotides) under uncultured bacterium. RNAcentral describes it as "partial 16S ribosomal RNA". It matches the Rfam family "Bacterial small subunit ribosomal RNA", at positions 523 to 796 of the family's 1533-position model. The record is from RNAcentral.